GGAAUCUUCGGCAAUGGACGAAAGUCUGACCGAGCAACGCCGCGUGAGUGAUGAAGGCUUUAGGGUCGUAAAACUCUGUUGUUGGAGAAGAACGUGUGUGAGAGUAACUGCUCAUGCAGUGACGGUAUCCAACCAGAAAGCCACGGCUAACUACGUGCCAGCAGCCGCGGUAAUACGUAGGUGGCAAGCGUUGUCCGGAUUUAUUGGGCGUAAAGCGAGCGCAGGCGGUUUCUUAAGUCUGAUGUGAAAGCCCCCGGCUCAACCGGGGAGGGUCAUUGGAAACUGGGAGACUUGAGGGCAGAAGAGGAGAGUGGAAUUCCAUGUGUAGCGGUGAAAUGCGUAGAUAUAUGGAGGAACACCAGUGGCGAAGGCGGCUCUCUGGUCUGUAACUGACGCUGAGGCUCGAAAGCGUGGGGAGCAAACA
RNAcentral lists this ribosomal RNA (424 nucleotides) under uncultured bacterium. RNAcentral's name for it is "bacterial SSU rRNA". It matches the Rfam family "Bacterial small subunit ribosomal RNA", at positions 358 to 774 of the family's 1533-position model. The record is from RNAcentral.